AAACGUUGGUCGCUUGCAGCCGAUGGCCACCUUUGGGUCAGGCGGCCGGGGAGGCGAGGGGAGAUGGGGGUGGUGGUGGGGCUCAUCGUGGGGGCCAGUGAGUCGCUGGACAAGCUCCUUGAAGGUGGUGGUGUCGGCUUGGACGAAUGUUGUGGAGGGGGCCACGCCGGGUGGCUUCUCGGCCAUGGCUAGGUUAUCUAUGCGUCCAAG
Molecule: unclassified non-coding RNA, 210 nt
Filed under: Hevea brasiliensis (rubber tree)
Lineage: Eukaryota; Viridiplantae; Streptophyta; Magnoliopsida; Malpighiales; Euphorbiaceae
Source: RNAcentral